RNAcentral lists this ribosomal RNA (748 nucleotides) under uncultured bacterium. RNAcentral describes it as "bacterial SSU rRNA". It matches the Rfam family "Bacterial small subunit ribosomal RNA", at positions 78 to 822 of the family's 1533-position model. The record is from RNAcentral.
UGCUGAUUUGCUGACGAGUGGCGGACGGGUGAGUAAUGUCUGGGAAACUGCCUGAUGGAGGGGGAUAACUACUGGAAACGGUAGCUAAUACCGCAUAACGUCGCAAGACCAAAGAGGGGGACCUUCGGGCCUCUUGCCAUCGGAUGUGCCCAGAUGGGAUUAGCUAGUAGGUGGGGUAACGGCUCACCUAGGCGACGAUCCCUAGCUGGUCUGAGAGGAUGACCAGCCACACUGGAACUGAGACACGGUCCAGACUCCUACGGGAGGCAGCAGUGGGGAAUAUUGCACAAUGGGCGCAAGCCUGAUGCAGCCAUGCCGCGUGUAUGAAGAAGGCCUUCGGGUUGUAAAGUACUUUCAGCGGGGAGGAAGGGAGUAAAGUUAAUACCUUUGCUCAUUGACGUUACCCGCAGAAGAAGCACCGGCUAACUCCGUGCCAGCAGCCGCGGUAAUACGGAGGGUGCAAGCGUUAAUCGGAAUUACUGGGCGUAAAGCGCACGCAGGCGGUUUGUUAAGUCAGAUGUGAAAUCCCCGGGCUCAACCUGGGAACUGCAUCUGAUACUGGCAAGCUUGAGUCUCGUAGAGGGGGGUAGAAUUCCAGGUGUAGCGGUGAAAUGCGUAGAGAUCUGGAGGAAUACCGGUGGCGAAGGCGGCCCCCUGGACGAAGACUGACGCUCAGGUGCGAAAGCGUGAGGAGCAAACAGGAUUAGAUACCCUGGUAGUCCACGCCGUANACGAUGUCGACUUGGAG